This 1071-nucleotide ribosomal RNA is filed under the name Anomala albopilosa sakishimana. RNAcentral describes it as "partial 16S rRNA". The record is from RNAcentral. Lineage: Eukaryota; Metazoa; Arthropoda; Insecta; Coleoptera; Scarabaeidae.
AGGGAUAAAUUUAUAUAAAUAAUUUUUUAUAAAAAAAGUAUUUUUUAUAUGAGUAUUGGUUAGAAAUUAAAAUUUAUAUUAUAGUUAAUUAGUAUAGAGAUAGGAUAUUGAAAUAAUGGAAGUUUAUUUAUUUAAAAGAAAAAUUAAUUUUUUGUACCUUGGGUAUCAGGGUUUAUUAAAAUAUUUUAAUUAUUUAAUUUUCUCGAAUUAUAAAGAGCUAAUAUAGUAUAAAUUUAAUUGUGGCAUAAAUUUUUAUAAUACUAUAUUAGAAAUGAAACGUUAUUCGUUUUUUAAGAUAUCUAGUUUCUUAAGAAAUAAAUUUAAUUUAGUUUUUAUAUUAAAUAUAAUUAAUUUGUUAGUUAUAUUUAUAUAAUAAGUAAUAUUUUAGGGGAUAAGCUUUAAAAUAAAUUAUUAAAAUUGUUUAUAUUUUGAAUAAAAAUUAGUAGGAUUGGAAGUGUUUAUCUUUAGUUUGUUACAAAUAAUUUUUAUUAGAAUAAGAUUUAUAUAGAUUUUAAAUUUUUUAUUAAGAUAAUAUAUAUAAUAUUAUUAUAUAUGUAAUAAUGAUAAAAUUAGUAUAUGAUUUUGAUGUAUUAUUAAAUUAAAUAGUCAAGGUUAAGUUAAGGAACUCGGCAAAUAUAUUUUCCGCCUGUUUAUUAAAAACAUGUCUUUUUGAUUAUAAUUUAAAGUCUGACCUGCCCAAUGAGGAGUUGAAUGGCCGCGGUAAUUUGACCGUGCAAAGGUAGCAUAAUCAUUAGUUUUUUAAUUGAAAGCUGGAAUGAACGGUUGGACGAGAAAAUAACUGUCUCAAUUUAAUUGAAUGUAGAAUUUUAUUUAUAAGUAAAAAAGCUUAUAUAAAUUUAAAAGACGAGAAGACCCUAUAGAGUUUUAUAAUUUUUUAUAGUAAAGAAUUUUAGUAUGUUUAUAUUUUUAAUAUAAAAAAUUAUUUUGCUGGGGCAGCAGAAAAAUUAACUAAACUUUUUUUUAUUUAUUUUACAUUGAUUUAUGAUUUAAUGAUCCAUUAUUUAUGAUUACAAGAUUAAAUUACCUUAGGGAUAACAGCGUAAUUUUUUU